GAUGAAGAACGUAGCGAAAUGCGAUAAUUAAUGUGAAUUGCAGAAUUCAGUGAAUCAUCGAGUCUUUGAACGCACAUUGCGCCCCCUGGUAUUCCGGGGGGCAUGCCUGUCCGAGCGUCAUUGCUGCCCUCAAGCCCGGCUUGUGUGUUGGGCCUUGCUCCCCCGGGGGCAGGCCCGAAAGGCAGUGGCGGCACCGCGUCCGAUCCUCGAGCGUAUGGGGCUUUGUCACCCGCUCUGUAGGCCCGGCCGGCGCUUGCCGACACCAAUCAAUCUUUUUUCAGGUUGACCUCGGAUCAGGUAGGGAUACCCGCUGAACUUAAGCAUAUCAAUAAGCGGAGGA
This 340-nucleotide unclassified non-coding RNA is filed under the name soil metagenome. RNAcentral describes it as "partial contains 5.8S ribosomal RNA, internal transcribed spacer 2, and large subunit ribosomal RNA". The stretch from base 1 to 120 matches the Rfam family "5.8S ribosomal RNA", at positions 35 to 154 of the family's 154-position model. The record is from RNAcentral.